Molecule: ribosomal RNA, 405 nt
Filed under: uncultured Acidobacteriota bacterium
Lineage: Bacteria; Pseudomonadati; Acidobacteriota
Description: bacterial SSU rRNA
Rfam family: Bacterial small subunit ribosomal RNA
Source: RNAcentral
GCCGCGUGAGUGAUGAAGGCCCUCGGGUUGUAAAGCUCUUUCGGAGGGAAGAUAAUGACGGUACCAAUAGAAUAAGCCCCGGCUAACUUCGUGCCAGCAGCCGCGGUAAUACGAAGGGGGCUAGCGUUGUUCGGAAUUAUUGGGCGUAAAGGGUGCGUAGGCGGUUCUCCAAGUCUGGUGUGAAAUCUCCGGGCUCAACUCGGAAACUGCCUUUGAAACUGCCGGGCUUGAGUAUGGGAGAGGUGAGUGGAAUUUCCGGUGUAGCGGUGAAAUGCGUAGAUAUCCGGAGGAACACCUGUGGCGAAAGCGGCUCACUGGACCAUUACUGACGCUGAGGCACGAAAGCUUGGGGAGCAAACAGGAUUAGAUACCCUGGUAGUCCACGCCCUAAACGAUGAUUGCUUG